GGCGUAGCUCAGUCGGCAGAGCAGCCGCCUUGUAAGCGGCAGGUCGUGGGUUCGAUUCCCUCCGCC
RNAcentral lists this transfer RNA (66 nucleotides) under marine eukaryotic metagenome. It matches the Rfam family "tRNA". From Rfam's summary of the family: Transfer RNA (tRNA) molecules are approximately 80 nucleotides in length. Their secondary structure includes four short double-helical elements and three loops (D, anti-codon, and T loops). The record is from RNAcentral.